Molecule: ribosomal RNA, 255 nt
Filed under: uncultured bacterium
Lineage: Bacteria
Description: partial 16S ribosomal RNA
Rfam family: Bacterial small subunit ribosomal RNA
Source: RNAcentral
UACGUAGGGUGCAAGCGUUGUCCGGAAUUAUUGGGCGUAAAGAGCGUGUAGGCGGCCCCCAUUAGUCCGCUGUGAAAGUCCAGGGCUCAACCCUGGAAUGCCGGUGGAUACUGUGGGGCUAGAGUCCGGAAGGGGCGAGUGGAAUUCCUGGUGUAGCGGUGAAAUGCGCAGAUAUCAGGAGGAACACCAAUGGCGAAGGCAGCUCGCUGGGACGUGACUGACGCUGAGACGCGAAAGCGUGGGGGAGCAAACAGG